UUGAUCUCAUUUGAGAUUUUUUUUCAGAAACAGAAAAGCUCCCACUCUUUUCUCACUUUGUCGACAGCGACGAACAAACAACCUAUCUCACACGUUGACUCCUCUAUUUCUCCACGGCAGGUCUUCCUCCCAUACAUAGACUGAUAAGCUCUCCUCUCUCUCGACAGUAACAAAGGCUUGAUGCAAACGGCGUGCGGCAUCUUCAAUCUCAACCCAUGUAUAAUGUCUUACUGUUGUAUGUUCGAAUCUUGAACCCCAUCUCAUCACAGAUUUAAGAUUCACUGAAAACCCCACUCCUCAGCAACAAUUAUUUUCCUUGGUUUUGUUUCAUAUUUCUUUUUUAUUAUCUUCCAUUUCUUGUUUAGCCUAAUAUUUUCUGGGUUUUAUGUUGUUCAGGUUUUUUGUUGAAUUUUUUUGGCAUUCCAAGUUUACUUUAUUAUUAGUUGGAUUUGCUCUCAAGAUCCGCUUGGUAUGCAAUUUAUAUUAAAAUUCCAUUUUUUGGCUGGCCAGUUUGAAGUUUUAGAACUUGUUUCUUAUUUAUCAUUCAUAUUAUACGAUUUAUGCCUGGUAAUAAAUAUUUUUCAUAAAUUUUGAAAUUUCCAUUGAUAUAUAUAUUUUUUUGUGUUGAAUAUGGAUGGCGCUCCUUACGUUCAUAUUAAAUGUUGAAAUUUCCAUUCAUAUUUUUCAUAUCGUUAAUAAUAAAUUGGGUGGUGAUUUUGGCGGCUUUUUUAUUUUAAUAAAGUACUUGUGUAUGAUAUGGAUAAUGAGUGAAUUUAUUUGGGGCUGCUGCUUUUACUAUGACAUGCACAAAACAAAUGCUUGCGUGUAGGAUUUUGUUUGAGUUAUUGUCUUCUUCCAUGCUUCUUUAUGAGAACUCAUUUAUAUAAUUUGAAUAGGAGGUGCAGGUGAACAAGAGCAGAAACUUAUAGUGCAAUUGUUUCAGAAAACACAAGUUUUUGAUGUGUGGUGCAUUAUGCUAUUAAGACCAUAAAUAGGGUCAAUGAUUGGCAAAAAGAAG
RNAcentral lists this long non-coding RNA (1018 nucleotides) under Prunus dulcis (almond). RNAcentral's name for it is "sRNA ncRNA". Lineage: Eukaryota; Viridiplantae; Streptophyta; Magnoliopsida; Rosales; Rosaceae. The record is from RNAcentral.